This is a long non-coding RNA of Helicoverpa armigera (cotton bollworm), 2266 nucleotides long. RefSeq lists it as uncharacterized. The record is from RefSeq and is a predicted model, not a curated record. NCBI's taxonomy places the organism in Eukaryota, Metazoa, Arthropoda, Insecta, Lepidoptera, Noctuidae. The transcript has 5 exons.
UUGGGUUUAUUCACGGUCGUAACAGUUCGUAUAGAAAAACUAUGUACGGAGGCUGGUUAAGAUAUUUAGUUUUGAAAAUUAACGAGAGGUGGCGCUUUGUUCAAUUUUGUAUAUUUUUUUUCGUUAGCAACAUUAUAAUGUGGUGUUGCUAUCGACUGUUUGUCAGUUCUUUAUACGCAAAAUACUUACGUCUCUAACUUUGAAAUAAGCUUUUUCUUCAGAAAAAAAAGAGGAAUGCAAACUUCAAAGCAUCUAAAUCAUAAACAAAAUAUGUCUACACAUGUGAUCUACACUUACUUGUUGUUACUUGAUAUUUAUUAAGGUAGAAAAUCGCUUUGGUUUUUUCCAAGUGGUUUUGUAAAUUUUUGUGUGUAAUGGAACGCAUAUAUGUCAUGGCGUCCGGCCGGUACCCUUUAAAAGUUGUUGAUUGUGUUGUGUGGUGCGUUCUCCUGUUUUUCCGUAUAUUUGUGGCUUUUCCGACAACGUUUGCUUUCCAAAGGACACCGAAAUCUCCGCUUUAAUUUUACACCUGUGCGCACUACUUUGGACUCCGAGUUUUCUCUUUACGAUUUGGAUUUGACGAUAUGGGAUCUCCGUUCAGAUGUUGUGUUCGUUAUUGCACUACAACUCGCAGUAAGUUUUAAAUAUACUAUUUUAAUGUGGACUUUCCCAUUAUAAGUAUAUACAGUACAGUAUUAUAGGAGAUACCGUAGAACAAUAAUAAUAUGUCUUCAUUUACAGGUGAUGAUUGCAAUGUUAUUUUGCAUUCAUUUCCCAACCCCGAUAAGGAAGAGGACAGAUUUAGAUCUUGGGUCUACUCAAUUGGGGGAGAUAUUCUGGUUUUGGAUAACCAAUUUGUAUUCAAAACAGAAAAAUAUGCCACAAGCACUUCGAAAGUAAAUACCAUACAAGAAGUUCAAGAUUAAGUGCUAAUGCAGUUCCUACUUUGCAUUUAAAAGGCAUACCUUGUAAAAGACCAUUAUCAGAUGUUACCAAUGUGACCAGUUACAAUCCAAUAUUUGCUCAACCUUCAACAUCCACAGCAGGUCCACUUCAUUCUGGUGAACCAAUAUCUAUCAAGACCAGUGAACUUGAGAAGCUAGCAGAAGCAGAUUUAGGCAAACCUGUAAAGACUUCAGGAGUAAAACAUAUUUCCCUAAAACAAGCAGCUGCAAUGACAAAAAAUGUACCAAACUUAGCGAAUCUGCAAAAAACAAUCAAGAAGUUACAACAAAAGAAAGAAAGUUACGCCACACGACUGAAAAGAGCCUUAAGACUUUCUGAAAAUACCACUUUUCAGAAGUGCUUACAAAAUUUUCGACUUUGGCAGCCUUGUUUACAGUCAUGCAAUUUCGCGAAAUUUCAAAAGGAAAAAUGGGAAGAAGGUUCACAAAGGACGAAAAAUCAUGGCUCUCAGUUUGUACAAACAGGGCCCAAAAGCAUAUAGAUGGCUCAGUAAAAUAUUUAUUUUACCAUCUCCUAUCACUCUGAGUCGUCUGAUUUCCUGUGCUGGUCUAAGACCAGGAAUCAACAAAAGGAUAUUUAACCAGUUGAAGAAAAGAGCCCAAAAAAUGACAGAAAAUGAAAAGUUAUGCAUUCUUCUGUUCGAUGAAAUAUCUAUUACACCCCAUUAUGACUAUAAUAGAAAACGAGAUGCCAUUACGGGAUUUAUUAAUAAUGGAAAACAAACAAACAGGAACAUAGCGGAUCAUGCACUUGUUUUAUGUUAAGAGGGUUUGUAAAUAAUUACAAACAACCAUUGGCUUACACAUUUUGCAAAGGAACAACUUCCAAAGGAGAUUUGAAACUUUUAAUAAAAAUAUUAUUUCCGAAUUGCAACAGUGUGGGUUUUAUGUGCUUGCAACGGUCUGUGACCAAGGGACUACAAAUGUUAGCGCUAUAAACGAAUUGAUAGAAGAAAGAAGAGUUGAUUAUAUAAGAAAAAAUCUAAAUUUUAAGCAUCAAAUAUUUGAAGUCAAUGGCAAGGAAAUAAUACCUAUUUUUGACACCCCCCACUUAAUAAAAGGGAUUAGGAAUAAUUUAAUUACCAAGAAUUUGAAGUGCAUUAUAGAAGAUGAAGUUAAAAUUGCGAAGUGGGACCACCUAAUUAAACUUCAUGAGGAAAAUCCUUCUUAUAAAGGUAUACGAUUAAUUAAAAAUCUUACAGAAGCCCACAUUGAUCCAAAGAAAAUCCCCAAGAUGAAGGUUAAGAUGGCAACUCAAAUAUUUAGUCAAACAGUCGCUACCAGUAUGGGAUACCUAGCAG